CCGCCCGUCACAUCACGAAAGUGGGCCGUACUAGAAGCUGGUGUGCUAACCGCAAGGGGGCAGCCAUCCAAGGUACAAAAAGCUCAUGAUUGGGGUG
Molecule: ribosomal RNA, 97 nt
Filed under: uncultured bacterium
Lineage: Bacteria
Description: partial 16S ribosomal RNA
Source: RNAcentral